RNAcentral lists this small RNA (286 nucleotides) under Methylomonas methanica MC09. RNAcentral describes it as "5' ureB small RNA". It matches the Rfam family "5' ureB small RNA". Lineage: Bacteria; Pseudomonadati; Pseudomonadota; Gammaproteobacteria; Methylococcales; Methylococcaceae. The record is from Rfam by way of RNAcentral.
CUUCUUCGAUCUGCUGCGGGCAGAUAAAAUGGAUGUGCGCAUCGAUACCGCCGGCGGUCAGAAUAUGGCCCUCGCCGGCGAUGACUUCGGUGCCGGGGCCGACGACGAUGUCCACGCCGGGUUGAAUAUCCGGAUUGCCGGCCUUGCCGAUCUUGAAGAUGCGGCCGUCCUUGACGCCGACGUCGGCCUUGACGAUACCCCAGUAGUCGAUGAUCAGCGCGUUGGUAAUCACCAAAUCCACCGAGUGUUCGGAGCCCAGCUGACUUUGGCCCAUGCCGUCGCGGAU